RNAcentral lists this ribosomal RNA (460 nucleotides) under uncultured bacterium. RNAcentral's name for it is "partial 16S ribosomal RNA". It matches the Rfam family "Bacterial small subunit ribosomal RNA", at positions 338 to 795 of the family's 1533-position model. The record is from RNAcentral.
CCUACGGGAGGCAGCAGUGAGGAAUAUUGGUCAAUGGGCGCGAGCCUGAACCAGCCAAGUAGCGUGAAGGAUGAAUGCCCUACGGGUUUUAAGCUUCUUUUAUAAAUGAAUACAGUGACGCACGUGUGCCUUUUUGUAUGUCCUUUAUGAAUAAGGAGCGGCUCAUUCCUUCCCAGCAGCCGCGGUAAUACGGCGGAUCAUAGCGUUAUACGGAUUUAUUGGGUUUAAAUGGAGCGGAGAGGGGUUGUUAAGUCAGUUGUGAAAGUGUGCUGCUCAACCGUAAAAUUGCAAUUGAUACUGGCAGGCUUGAGUACAGUUGAGGUAGGCGGAAUUCGUGGUGUAGAGGUGAAAUGCUUAGAUAUCACGAAGAACUCCGAUUGCGAAGGCAGCUUACUAAACUGUCACUGACAUUGAUGCUCGAAAGUGUGGGUAUCAAACAGGAUUAGAUACCCCUGUAGUC